RNAcentral lists this ribosomal RNA (707 nucleotides) under uncultured bacterium. Its description in RNAcentral is "bacterial SSU rRNA". It matches the Rfam family "Bacterial small subunit ribosomal RNA", at positions 71 to 747 of the family's 1533-position model. The record is from RNAcentral.
UUCUUUAUCACCGAGUGCUUGCACUCACCGAUAAAGAGUUGAGUGGCGAACGGGUGAGUAACACGUGGGCAACCUGCCCAAAAGAGGGGGAUAACACUUGGAAACAGGUGCUAAUACCGCAUAACCAUAGUUACCGCAUGGUAACUAUGUAAAAGGUGGCUAUACUACCGCUUUUGGAUGGGCCCGCGGCGCAUUAGCUAGUUGGUAGGGUAAAGGCUUACCAAGGCAAUGAUGCGUAGCCGAAUUGAGAGGUUGAUCGGCCACAUUGGGACUGAGACACGGCCCAAACUCCUACGGGAGGCAGCAGUAGGGAAUCUUCCACAAUGGGCGAAAGCCUGAUGGAGCAACGCCGCGUGGGUGAAGAAGGUCUUCGGAUCGUAAAACCCUGUUGUUAGAGAAGAAAGUGCGUGAGAGUAACUGUUCACGUUUCGACGGUAUCUAACCAGAAAGCCACGGCUAACUACGUGCCAGCAGCCGCGGUAAUACGUAGGUGGCAAGCGUUAUCCGGAUUUAUUGGGCGUAAAGGGAACGCAGGCGGUCUUUUAAGUCUGAUGUGAAAGCCUUCGGCUUAACCGGAGUAGUGCAUUGGAAACUGGGAGACUUGAGUGCAGAAGAGGAGAGUGGAACUCCAUGUGUAGCGGUGAAAUGCGUAGAUAUAUGGAAGAACACCAGUGGCGAAAGCGGCUCUCUGGUCUGUAACUGACGCU